CGGGUGAGUAACGCGUGGGUAACCUGCCUUAUACUGGGGGAGUAACAGCCAGAAAUGACUGCUAAUACCGCAUAAGCGCACAGAACCGCAUGGUCCGGUGUGAAAAACUCCGGUGGUAUAAGAUGGACCCGCGUUGGAUUAGCUAGUUGGCAGGGCAGCGGCCUACCAAGGCGACGAUCCAUAGCCGGCCUGAGAGGGUGAACGGCCACAUUGGGACUGAGACACGGCCCAGACUCCUACGGGAGGCAGCAUG
This 253-nucleotide ribosomal RNA is filed under the name uncultured bacterium. RNAcentral describes it as "partial 16S ribosomal RNA". It matches the Rfam family "Bacterial small subunit ribosomal RNA", at positions 103 to 353 of the family's 1533-position model. The record is from RNAcentral.